RNAcentral lists this ribosomal RNA (450 nucleotides) under uncultured bacterium. RNAcentral describes it as "bacterial SSU rRNA". It matches the Rfam family "Bacterial small subunit ribosomal RNA", at positions 325 to 793 of the family's 1533-position model. The record is from RNAcentral.
CACUGUCACUCCUACGGGAGGCAGCAGUGGGGAAUCUUGGACAAUGGGGGGCAAACCCUGAUCCAGCCAUGCCGCGUGAGUGAAGAAGGCCUUAGGGUCGUAAAGCUCUUUCGCCUGUGAAGAUAAUGACGGUAGCAGGUAAAGAAACCCCGGCUAAACUCCGUGCCAGCAGCCGCGGUAAUACGGAGGGGGUUAGCGUUGUUCGGAAUUACUGGGCGUAAAGCGCGCGUAGGCGGACCAGAAAGUUGGGGUGAAAUCCCGGGGCUCAACCCCGGAACUGCCUCCAAAACUCCUGGUCUUGAGUUCGAGAGAGGUGAGUGGAAUUCCGAGUGUAGAGGUGAAAUUCGUAGAUAUUCGGAGGAACACCAGUGGCGAAGGCGGCUCACUGGCUCGAUACUGACGCUGAGGUGCGAAAGUGUGGGGAGCAAACAGGAUUAGAUACCCUGGUAG